AACGAACGCUGGCGGCAGGCUUAACACAUGCAAGUCGAACGCCCCGCAAGGGGAGUGGCAGACGGGUGAGUAACGCGUGGGAACAUACCCUUUUCUACGGAAUAGCUCUGGGAAACUGGAAUUAAUACCGUAUACGCCCUACGGGGGAAAGAUUUAUCGGGGAAGGAUUGGCCCGCGUUGGAUUUGCUAGUUGGUGGGGUAAAGGCCUACCAAGGCGACGAUCCAUAGCUGGUCUGAGAGGAUGAUCAGCCACAUUGGGACUGAGACACGGCCCAAACUCCUACGGGAGGCAGCAGUGGGGAAUAUUGGACAAUGGGCGCAAGCCUGAUCCAGCCAUGCCGCGUGAGUGAUGAAGGCCUUAGGGUUGUAAAGCUCUUUCACCGAUGAAGAUAAUGACGGUAGUCGGAGAAGAAGCCCCGGCUAACUUCGUG
This 431-nucleotide ribosomal RNA is filed under the name uncultured bacterium. RNAcentral describes it as "partial 16S ribosomal RNA". It matches the Rfam family "Bacterial small subunit ribosomal RNA", at positions 29 to 507 of the family's 1533-position model. The record is from RNAcentral.